AGGCUUAUAUGUCAACGGUAGACUGUUGGUCUCCAAAACCAGAGAUCUAGGUUCAAAUCCUAGUAAGCCUG
Molecule: transfer RNA, 71 nt
Filed under: Lactobacillus sp.
Lineage: Bacteria; Bacillati; Bacillota; Bacilli; Lactobacillales; Lactobacillaceae
Also listed under: 2 other names
Description: tRNA-Trp
Rfam family: tRNA
About the family: Transfer RNA (tRNA) molecules are approximately 80 nucleotides in length.
Source: RNAcentral